This 108-nucleotide transfer RNA is filed under the name Pyricularia grisea. Its description in RNAcentral is "tRNA-Arg". It matches the Rfam family "tRNA". Rfam says of the family: Transfer RNA (tRNA) molecules are approximately 80 nucleotides in length. Their secondary structure includes four short double-helical elements and three loops (D, anti-codon, and T loops). Lineage: Eukaryota; Fungi; Ascomycota; Sordariomycetes; Magnaporthales; Pyriculariaceae. The record is from RNAcentral.
GCCCGGCUGGCUCAAUGGUAGAGCAUCAGACUUCUAAGUCACGAAUCCACCGAGUGGAUACCUGCUUAUGUAAUCUGGAGGUUGCGGGUUCGAGUCCCGCGUCGGGUU